RNAcentral lists this ribosomal RNA (412 nucleotides) under uncultured Lactobacillus sp. RNAcentral describes it as "bacterial SSU rRNA". It matches the Rfam family "Bacterial small subunit ribosomal RNA", at positions 58 to 446 of the family's 1533-position model. The record is from RNAcentral. Lineage: Bacteria; Bacillati; Bacillota; Bacilli; Lactobacillales; Lactobacillaceae.
CGAGUCUGCCUUGAAGAUCGGAGUGCUUGCACUCUGUGAAACAAGAUACAGGCUAGCGGCGGACGGGUGAGUAACACGUGGGUAACCUGCCCAAGAGAUCGGGAUAACACCUGGAAACAGAUGCUAAUACCGGAUAACAACAGAUGAUGCCUAUCAACUGUUUAAAAGAUGGUUCUGCUAUCACUCUUGGAUGGACCUGCGGUGCAUUAGCUAGUUGGCAGGGUAACGGCCUACCAAGGCGAUGAUGCAUAGCCGAGUUGAGAGACUGAUCGGCCACAUUGGGACUGAGACACGGCCCAAACUCCUACGGGAGGCAGCAGUAGGGAAUCUUCCACAAUGGACGCAAGUCUGAUGGAGCAACGCCGCGUGAGUGAAGAAGGGUUUCGGCUCGUAAAGCUCUGUUGUUGGUGAA